UACGAAGGGUGCAAACGUUGCUCGGAAUCAUUGGGCGUAAAGCGCACGUAGGCGGCCUAUCAAGUCGGAUGUGAAAGCCCUUGGCUCAACCAAGGAAGUGCAUCCGAAACUGAUGGGCUUGAAUACUAAAGAGGAACGCGGAAUUCCCGGUGUAGAAGUGAAAUUCAUAGAUAUCGGGAGGAACAUCUGUGGCGAAGGCGGCGUUCUGGGUAGAUAUUGACGCUGAGGUGCGAAAGCGUGGGGAGCAAACAGG
This 253-nucleotide ribosomal RNA is filed under the name uncultured bacterium. Its description in RNAcentral is "partial 16S ribosomal RNA". It matches the Rfam family "Bacterial small subunit ribosomal RNA", at positions 524 to 776 of the family's 1533-position model. The record is from RNAcentral.